Molecule: long non-coding RNA, 486 nt
Organism: Scomber scombrus (Atlantic mackerel)
Lineage: Eukaryota; Metazoa; Chordata; Actinopteri; Scombriformes; Scombridae
Exons: 3
Source: RefSeq, a predicted model, not a curated record
ACACACACAGAGCCGAGCACAGAGGACCACAGCAGACAGGAUGAAGCUUUACUUUCACUCUACAAAAUCUGGCGAUGCAGCACCUUCCCACAGAGAUUUAAUUUGGCUCUCUGAAAUGAAAAAAUGAGCACCCGCCCCGCCCUGAUGUAUAGACAGCUUUGAACCAGGGUGGGUGGUGGUCAGGGUUUUUUCAGAGAGCCAGAGCCAGAGUCCGAAGGGCUUCAUCAGGGUUGUCUGCGGUAGUCAGUCAUUGGAAAGGGCCAAACGGAGGAGCCAGUCAGGGAUCUCAGGAUGUGGUCAUGGAAGAUGGGUCGUUCCACAUGGCCGCCACGUCUCUGAACCUGGAGGACGAUGAUGAGACAUUAGGCACAUAUGCUGCUGGUGAUGAAAAGUGCCAAGAAAUGCAGCAAUGCACCAGCAAAGGCAGACAAGAAGAACACUGCUCGCUAUCAAAACAUCCGCUUUUCGACUUUAAGAUUACAGACA